GCGUGUGUGAAGAAGGCCUGCGGGUUGUAAAGCACUUUCAGUAGAGAAGAAAAGCAUGGGGUUAAUACCCCCGUGUCUUGACGUUACCUACAGAAGAAGCACCGGCUAACUCCGUGCCAGCAGCCGCGGUAAUACGGAGGGUGCGAGCGUUAAUCGGAAUUACUGGGCGUAAAGCGCGCGUAGGCGGUUGUGUAAGUCGGAUGUGAAAGCCCUGGGCUUAACCUGGGAAUUGCAUUCGAUACUGCUCAACUAGAGUAUGGGAGAGGGAAGUGGAAUUUCCGGUGUAGCGGUGAAAUGCGU
This 300-nucleotide ribosomal RNA is filed under the name uncultured bacterium. RNAcentral describes it as "bacterial SSU rRNA". It matches the Rfam family "Bacterial small subunit ribosomal RNA", at positions 399 to 691 of the family's 1533-position model. The record is from RNAcentral.